Molecule: ribosomal RNA, 487 nt
Filed under: uncultured bacterium
Lineage: Bacteria
Description: partial 16S ribosomal RNA
Rfam family: Bacterial small subunit ribosomal RNA
Source: RNAcentral
GAUGAACGCUGGCGGCGUGCUUAACACAUGCAAGUCGAACGAAGCACUGUUUAACUUUCGGGUUAAACAGUGACUUAGUGGCGGACGGGUGAGUAACGCGUGGGUAACCUGCCUUAUACAGGGGGAUAACAGCUGGAAACGGCUGCUAACACCGCAUAAGCGCACAGUAUCGCAUGAUACAGUGUGAAAAUAUUUAUAGGUAUAAGAUGGACCCGCGUCUGAUUAGCUAGUUGGUGAGGUAAUGGCCCACCAAGGCGACGAUCAGUAGCCGGCUUGAGAGAGUGAACGGCCACAUUGGGACUGAUACACGGCCCAAACUCCUACGGGAGGCAGCAGUGGGGAAUAUUGCACAAUGGGGGAAACCCUGAUGCAGCGACGCCGCGUGAGUGAAGAAGUAUUUCGGUAUGUAAAGCUCUAUCAGCAGGGACGAUAAUGACGGUACCUGACUAAGAAGCCCCGGCUAACUACGUGCCAGCAGCCGCAGUAA